UUGCAUAUCAAUAAGCGGAGGAAAAGAAACCAACAGGGAUUGCCUUAGUAGCGGCGAGUGAAGCGGCAAUAGCUCAAAUUUGAAAUCUGCCAACAGGCCGAGUUGUAAUUUGAAGAAAGCAAUUCUGGAUGUGUCUUUGCUCAAGUUCCUUGGAAUAGGACAUCAUGGAGGGUGAGAAUCCCGUGAUGCGAAGGUAGCACGUCUAUGUAGAAUG
This 214-nucleotide ribosomal RNA is filed under the name uncultured fungus. Its description in RNAcentral is "partial 26S ribosomal RNA". It matches the Rfam family "Eukaryotic large subunit ribosomal RNA", at positions 36 to 252 of the family's 3401-position model. The record is from RNAcentral. Lineage: Eukaryota; Fungi.